Molecule: ribosomal RNA, 373 nt
Filed under: uncultured bacterium
Lineage: Bacteria
Description: bacterial SSU rRNA
Rfam family: Bacterial small subunit ribosomal RNA
Source: RNAcentral
GAUGAACGCUGGCGGCGUGCCUAAUACAUGCAAGUCGAACGAAUCACUUCGGUGGUUAGUGGCGAACGGGUGAGUAAUACGUAAGCAACCUGCCUAUGGGACUGGGAUAACGUUUGGAAACGGACGCUAAUACCGGAUAGGUAGAGAGGGAGGCAUCUCUUCUCUAUUAAAGUUUAGAUACACCGAUAGAUGGGCUUACGGCGCAUUAGCUAGUUGGUGAGGUAACGGCUCACCAAGGCGAUGAUGCGUAGCCGGACUGAGAGGUUGAACGGCCACAUUGGGACUGAGACACGGCCCAAACUCCUACGGGAGGCAGCAGUAGGAAUUUUCGGCAAUGGGGGAAACCCUGACCGAGCAACGCCGCGUGAGUGAA